GCGUCUUUUAGAUCUCUCCUGUAGAUGUUUUCCUUCUCAUAGAUCUCUCAUCGCGGCCUGCCGUCAGUCUCCACCGUCACUUUUCUCCUUAUCGUCACCACGGCUAUCCCUUCCGAUCUCUCUCAUUACCUCCUUCAGGUAGUGGUUUCCUUCCCAUAUAUCUCUAAAAAAAGAGAGGAGGCCGACAACCUCCCUGUUCUCCCGUCGAUCUCUGCCGUCGCUCUUCUCUCGAUCCUCAUCGGCGUUGGGCUUCCUUCUUGAAUCUCCUACAGGUGCUUUCCUUCCCACAGAUCUCUUGCCGCGGCCUACCACC
This 313-nucleotide long non-coding RNA is filed under the name Elaeis guineensis (African oil palm). RNAcentral's name for it is "long non-coding RNA (EGUI_LNC073876)". The record is from RNAcentral. Lineage: Eukaryota; Viridiplantae; Streptophyta; Magnoliopsida; Arecales; Arecaceae.